Long non-coding RNA from Eptesicus fuscus (big brown bat), 192 nucleotides. RefSeq lists it as uncharacterized. The record is from RefSeq and is a predicted model, not a curated record. The transcript is spliced from 3 exons. NCBI's taxonomy places the organism in Eukaryota, Metazoa, Chordata, Mammalia, Chiroptera, Vespertilionidae.
GUUCUUGGCUGCAGCAUAGGUGAUCCACAAGAGAAUCCAUGAGAGGAAGGGAAAGAGAUAGAGAGCCAGAAACAUGGAUCAGCUGUCUCCUGCACGCCCUCUACUGGGGAUGUGCCUGCAACCAAGAGCGUGGAAGGGAGGGGGAGACAGAAGAGAGAAACAUGGAUGUGAGAGAGACACAUCGCUUGUCCA